AUCAGUACCUGAAAAGACAGGAGAAUGAGUAUGGUUGUCUUACUUCAUAAUGUCACAUGCAAGAUUAAGUCUUCCACUUAGUGUCUUAAAAAUAUAGUUAAAAGAAAACCCUAGAGAAAUUUUAAUAUGCAUGAUCACUUCCAAUAAAGAUUAAUAUUUUAUUUUACCCAACACCCGGUAAGCAAAAAAAAAAAAAAAAUCUUCUAUAAACUACUGCUAAUUACCUUAACUGCAUUAGCUUUGUUCAAAUUUAUAUUGAUUUCAUAGCCCUAAAUAAUUUUAAUUUUGUAAAUUUGAUUCUCUUAUGCCUAAGAGGAAAUAGUUCAGAGUGUGUACUUUAUUCUUUUCUUUCUGUGAGCUUUGUUGUUUUGAAUAUAAAAUCUAGUUUUCCCUAAAGCAAUGAGAAUGUUAUUCUUUUUUUUUCAUGUUUUAAAUUGUAAGGAAAUUGGAUGAACACUGAGAAUAGUCUAGGAACUUGAUAACAAAAUUCAAUAUACCCUUAUGCUCAAUAGAGAUAAUUUCCUUAUUAACUAAGAAAAUUACUCAGCUUUUGUUUUGAUGUGAAUUUUUUAUUGAAUAACUUCUUAAAUAUAAUAGAAGAGAGUUAUUUACUGUCAAAUUUUGUGACCAGUAUUAUGUGAAUGGAAGAAAGGAAGAAGGAAUGCAAAUAAGGGAGGAAACAGAAUAGUCUGAAAAGACAUUAUUCCAGUUAGUCUUCAGAAAAAUUCUGUAUAGUGUGUUUCACAAUUCCUAUUUUUCCAAAAACAAGAAUGCUAAAAUGUGGUCAGAAGCUCAUUGCUAGGCAGGAUCUGAUUUCAGCUUUGUCUGGCUCCAAGUCCUGAGAAUUUUCUAUUUUGCCAUCUUGUGUGGAAGAAAUAAACUUUUGUGCCAAUAUUAUUUCCCAUCCAUCUUCCCCAUUAGACUGUAAGCUUCUUGAUAGCAGACAUGGAAGUGGCCUUAUUCAUUGCUCUGUUCUCUGUCCUAGCACACUUCCUGCAUCCCGAGUAAGUGUUCAGGAAAUAUGUAUUGAAUGAAGAAACUGGGGAAGCAAAGAUCUAGAAACACGAAUAAUCAUAGAAACUUAAUUUACUUUAUUUUUAAGCACUUAUUUUUCAGCUACUAAUCUCUCAUUGCUAGACAGGGUGGCUUGUAGACAUUUGGUGUUGAGUUCAAGAUGGAUUUCUAGCGAAUAUAUUGAGGGGAAUAUGUGACGAGCCUUUAUAAUAAUUAUCUUCCUUUUAGACCCUGGAUUUAAAAGAUGAAAUAGCAAAAUGUGUUAUCACAUCCCUUAUUGAAAAAGUUCACAAAUAAGAUCUAUGGAACCAAUCUCUUCUGAUUGGAUCUCAUCAAGUUAACUCCUCAUGAAGUAAUCAGUAACAGAAUGUCCUUCCCAAAUGGAGCAUCAACUCUAUGAUAAUAGUUUUGUUGGUGUUACCCCUAAAACCAAGUAUCUUAUUUAGUCUUGGUGAACAAAAUCAGUAAGUGGAGAAGUUUACUCACUAUUCUGAAGGUACUUAUGUUAUAACUGUUGCACAUAGACCAUGCCUUAAGGUGAGUAGCUGUGUUCCUUAUGCAAAAAAUUUUGAACUGUCUUCGGAUAAAAUACUGUGACACAUUUCCUAUUGUCAAGCUCUUUCAUCUUCUGGUAAUUAGCUCAGGGAGUUUGUGUCUCAGUAAAAUAUGCCUGUUUCAUACUUGCUUUUAGGAAGAAGAUCCUCAAAAUCAACUGAUUAAACAAAAAUGAUCUUCUUGGAUUCUCUUACCCUUGAAGGGCAAAAUAGUUAAUAAAUGAUCACCUUGAAGUGCUUCCCUAAUUCUUUUGUAUUCAAUGGCAUUCCCUUUUUCUAACUAUAGGACUACUGUUCAUAAACUUGGAAACUGACAAUUCUGCUUUUUCCUGAGAAUUCUAAGUUUCUAUUUCAUGCUUAAUGCAGUCAGUGGAGAGACAGAGUACUGGAUUUUAAGUAUGAUAUCCUUGUGAUAAUUACAUUUUAGUGUUUGGAUUUGACAUUAAUUAACUUCCCAGAGCUAUAAUACUUUAUAUGGAUGGACACAGAGGAAACUGAAAGAAUUUUGCUAAAACUGUGGCUGACAUUAUGUUGAGAGUAAAUAACUUUUAUUCCAACCCUCAGAAAGAAAUCAUUUUAUUCCAUAUCUUUAAAAUGUGAUUUUAUUUAUAUUAUUCACUUCGUAUUUCUCACAGUGGGGCAAUCUGGAAGAGGUCACCUUAUGCAAGUGAACAAAGUGAGUAUCAUUUUUUAAUGGGAUAGGUAGAAAUCAUGUGACAUAUGGUUGGAUGUAAUGAAAACAACACUGAACCCACCCCCAUCCCCAUGUCAAUAUUUGCCCUGUCAAAUAUUCCUAAGCUGAGUCUCGUCAUGAGGAAACAUCAUGACCAACACAAAUUGAGAGAGAGUCAACAAAAUGCAAUAGUACUUAGUGAAGAUGAAAAGGGCAUUAGAUUUGUACAGUAAGAUAUUUUGAGAGAGAGGACACUUUCACAUAACAUUUAUUACAGUAAAUUGUUAUAAUUGUUCUAUUUUAUUACUGUUAAUCUCUUAUUAUGCCUAAUUUAUAAAUUACACUUGAUCAUGGGUAUGUAGGAUAGGAAAAAACAUAGUACAUGUAGGGUGAGAUACUUUCUGUGGUUUCAAGCAUCUUGUGGGGGACUUGAAAUGUAUUCCCAGUGGGUAAGGAAGGACUACUUACUAUAAUUUCACUGUAAUCUGUAAAAAUUUAAAACUUUUUUUUUAAGUGCAGAGAACUGUUCCAGCUUGAAAGAAACUAUAUUACAACUAGAUGCAACAUUUUAUUCUUGGCUGUGACAUUAAUGGGGUUAACUGGGUGAAGUUGACAAGGGUUUGAAGAUUAGAUGGCAGUAAUAUUCAAUAUUAAUUUCCCAAUUUUGUGUAUAUAUUAUGAUUAUAUAAGAAUGUUCUUUUGUGCCCCAUAUUAGAUUCCAGAUAUAAGUGAUAUCAUAUGGUAUUUGUCUUUCUCUUUCUGACUUACUUCACUCGGUAUGAGUCUCUACUUCCAUCCAUGUUGCUACAAAUGGCAUUAUUUUGUUCUUUUUUAUGAAUCUAAUAUACAGCACAAAUGAACCUUUCUACAGAAAAGAAAAUCAUGGACCUGGAGAAUAGACUUGUGGUUGCCAAGGGGGAAGGGGAAGGAGUGGGAUGGAUUGAGAGCUUGGGGUUAAUAGAUGCAAACCAUUGCUUUUGGAAUGGAUUAGCAAUGAGAUUCUGCUGUGUGGCACUGGGAAUUAUGUCUAGUCACUUAUGAUGGAGCAUGAUAAUGUGAGAAAAAAGAAUGUAUACAUGUAUGCGUAACUGAGUCACCAUGCUGUACAAUAGAAAAAAAAUUGAUAUGGGGAAAUAACAAUUUUAAAAAGUUCUUGAUUAUGGGGAAUUUAUUCUCAAAUAGCUCAAGGAAAAAAGUUCUUUUUAUUGUAAUUGCAACUCAUAAGUUGAAGAUAGUUUAAAAGUAAAAAAAUAACAACAAAAAUGUAUACUGUGUAAUAUUGUAUUAAAAUGCAUUUUGAGACAGAUACUUAGAUGAUCACUUAACGUGGAAUCUAAAAAAGCUGAUUUCAUAGAAAUAACAAUUAGAAUUGGGGUGACUAAGGGCUGGGGGGAAUGUGGAGAGUUUGGACCAAAGGUACAAAGUUCUAGUUAUAAGAUGAGUAUGUUCUGGGGAGCUAAUGUGCAGCCUGGGAAUUACAGUUAGUGUUAUUGUAGAAUAUACUUGUAAGUUGCUAAGAGAGUAGACUUUAAAUGUCCUCACCACAGAAAAAAAUGCCAGUUACUCCACAUAAUGGAGGUGUUAGCUAACACUAGGGUGGUCAGCAUUUUGCAUUAUAUAAGUAUUUCAAAUCAACAUGGUGUACACCCCAAACUUACAUAGUGCUAGAUGCCAGUUCAUUCUCAACAUAGCUGAAAAAAUGUCUUAUUUUUGUAAGCUUUGGGAUCUUUCAUUAAAUGGACUUCAUGCCCAUCUCCGUAUACAAAAACAAAACAUAAAUAGAAUAGGAUAAUUCUCCUAAUAACAUAGUUUAUACACAGUAUUGCAUUUUUUCAUAGAGCAAGUAUUAAUAUAACUAAAUAUCAUGGGAUCAAAUACAAUAUUGUGGGAACAAACACAUCUACAGGUUCAGGGGGUAUAUGCAUUUUUAUAAACUUUGCAAAUAGCUUCUUUCCCAAUUGACUUUGCAAAGUCACUUGCCUAAUCCUUUCCCAUCUCUACUUAAUUCUCUUUCCCUACCUUGUACCCCAAUCCCCAGCCAGAUUAAGUAGGGUUUAAUGAUGAAGGGUGACAGUUAUUUCUGCUACAUGAGAGCAAGCAGAAUAUUGACUUUAACUACAUCACUGAGUAGUUUGAGAAUAAAAAUGAAUAGGACACAAUCCCUGUGCUAAAAGCCUGUCUAGUUAUUGCCAACAAUGUCAGCUAGAAAUUUGCCUGGAUUAGGAAGAGAGGCAAACAUAAAGACCUUCUGUUAUCUAGCAUCAGCAAAGGACACCCCAAAUACUCAGGUGCUGUAUCCUAUAUUCAAUCUAGGAGUCUUUAUAAAUUAGGAACUGAUUACCCCAGAAUAUAAAGGGAAAUAAAAGAGCAAUAUAUUAAAUUGCAGAAUGUUCUUCCCAGCUUGCCUCUCAACAGUUUGAUCUUCACAUUUUCCUGGACUUUUUAUCACUGCAGUUGUUAAUGUAAGUGAAGUCAGAGUUUGUAGAAAACCUCUUUAUCUAAUCACGAGCUAAUUACUUAUAAUUAGCAAAUCACUUGCUAAAAUUAUCCUUUCACAUGUAUCUGAGUGAAAUCAAGAGGUAAAUCAGGAGAAAGAAAAAUCAAUCACUAUAUUGAUCUCCCUUAAAUCUUAAAAUCUUAUCAGAUUACACGCAGAUUUUCACAUUUGAAAAAUUAGUUGAGCUCCUCAAUGCAAUGUGUUCUCUAGAACAAAAGAGGGCUGUGGAAUUAAGUAGACUCUGAGAUCAGCACAGCGCCAACUCUACCUCCUGUGCCACAUUGCAGCUCUUUCACCAAAGGGGCUGAAUUUUGAAUGUAGAAUCGUGCAGGGACGGUGGCCCGAGACAUAGGUUGCUGGUGUGACAACUUUGAUACUAGUUUCAACAACAGGUCAUUAAGGAGCCCAGAUUCUCUUGGAGCUGUAUGUGCUCCUUAAAUUAUCUGCAGCAUCAGUGAAGAGGAGUCUUACUUUAAAUUAAUACAGAAGAAUGAAAAUCUGUCUGAAGAUACGGUGCUUGAAUAUUUAAAUAUACAUUUGAUACCUUUUUUUCACUUUGAAAUAUUACAUUCAUUUUGCAAAUUUUCAGAUCCAAAGCAAGACAUAUAGGGACAUUGCAUACCUCUUUUGUUUAAAUUUAAAUAGAAAGCAAAAUGUAUUUCACAUGUGUGCACCUAUGUUUAUUUACAUACAUAGAGAAGUGUUUUAUACAUACACAUCCAUCCAAAGGAUGCACAGAAUCACUUCCUUAUUCUCAUCUUUUCAAAUGUUUUUGGGAGUUCCCAUUGUGGCUCAGCGAUAACAAAACUGACCAGUAUUCAUGAGGAUGAGGGCUUGAUCCCUGGCCUCGCUAAGUAGCUUAAGGGUCCUGAGUUGCUGCGCUAUGGUGUAGGCCAACCCCUACAGCUUUAACUUGACCCCUAUCUUGUGAACUUCCAUUUGCUGUGGAACUUCCAUGUGCCACAGGUGAGGCCCUAAAAGGAAAAAUAAGAUGAAAAAUGUUUUUAAAGCUUACACUCUAAAUAGAUUUUUUUUUUAGAACUUCAACUAGUUAUUUUAGGUUCUUGUGUCAGACAUGGUCAUGACAUCUAUCAUCAUACAUUUCUAAGCCUUUAGUAUUCUAUUUUUGAAUACGGUAGCCUUAUUUUUUAUUACUAUGAUUAAUCUUUGCUUCUUCUAUAGG
Molecule: long non-coding RNA, 5921 nt
Filed under: Sus scrofa (pig)
Lineage: Eukaryota; Metazoa; Chordata; Mammalia; Artiodactyla; Suidae
Description: lncRNA (ENSSSCG00000061197.1)
Source: RNAcentral